UCAGAUGGCUUCGGUAGUUCCAAUCUGCCUUUAUCGGCAGCUGGUUUGUUUUUAGCUUGUUAGCAGCAGCGGUAGCUAAUAAAAGCUGUCUGUUGGCUGCACAUAGUAAUAAGGAUCCAAUAGAUUAACAUUGUUCAACAGUGCAAAUGGCUUCAGAGCACCCUAACUUCAGGAGGUUCCCCAGCGGGAGCCUCAUCCUAAAGGCCACCACUGCGGCUCUGGGGUCCCAGAACGCAGCCCAGAGGGGGGCCCUGAGGGCCAAACCCGCCGAGGAGGUGGAGGC
Long non-coding RNA from Cyprinodon tularosa, 283 nucleotides. RefSeq lists it as uncharacterized. NCBI's taxonomy places the organism in Eukaryota, Metazoa, Chordata, Actinopteri, Cyprinodontiformes, Cyprinodontidae. The record is from RefSeq and is a predicted model, not a curated record. The transcript has 3 exons.